RNAcentral lists this transfer RNA (73 nucleotides) under Spirochaetota bacterium. RNAcentral describes it as "Spirochaetes bacterium tRNA-Ala". It matches the Rfam family "tRNA". Rfam says of the family: Transfer RNA (tRNA) molecules are approximately 80 nucleotides in length. The record is from RNAcentral. Lineage: Bacteria; Pseudomonadati; Spirochaetota.
GGGCCUGUGGCGCAAUUGGGAGCGCACCUGCUUUGCACGCAGGGGGUUGUGAGUUCGAGUCUCAUCAGGUCCA